AUUGAACGCUGGCGGCAGGCUUAACACAUGCAAGUCGAGCGGAGAUAAGGUGCUUGCACCUUAUCUUAGCGGCGGACGGGUGAGUAAUGCUUAGGAAUCUGCCAUUUAGUGGGGGACAACAUUCCGAAAGGAAUGCUAAUACCGCAUACGUCCUACGGGAGAAAGCAGGGGAUCUUCGGACCUUGCGCUAAAUGAUGAGCCUAAGUCGGAUUAGCUAGUUGGUGGGGUAAAGGCCUACCAAGGCGACGAUCUGUAGCGGGUCUGAGAGGAUGAUCCGCCACACUGGGACUGAGACACGGCCCAGACUCCUACGGGAGGCAGCAGUGGGGAAUAUUGGACAAUGGGCGGAAGCCUGAUCCAGCCAUGCCGCGUGUGUGAAGAAGGCCUUUUGGUUGUAAAGCACUUUAAGCGAGGAGGAGGCUACCUAGAUUAAUACUCUGGGAUAGUGGACGUUACUCGCAGAAUAAGCACCGGCUAACUCUGUGCCAGCCGCCGCGGUAA
Molecule: ribosomal RNA, 501 nt
Filed under: uncultured bacterium
Lineage: Bacteria
Description: partial 16S ribosomal RNA
Rfam family: Bacterial small subunit ribosomal RNA
Source: RNAcentral